Molecule: ribosomal RNA, 429 nt
Filed under: Chloroflexota bacterium
Lineage: Bacteria; Bacillati; Chloroflexota
Description: Chloroflexi bacterium partial 16S ribosomal RNA
Rfam family: Bacterial small subunit ribosomal RNA
Source: RNAcentral
UGGGGAAUAUUGCACAAUGGGCGCAAGCCUGAUGCAGCCAUGCCGCGUGUAUGAAGAAGGCCUUCGGGUUGUAAAGUACUUUCAGUCGGGAGGAAGGUGGUAAGGUUAAUAACCUUGGCAAUUGACGUUACCGACAGAAGAAGCACCGGCUAACUCCGUGCCAGCAGCCGCGGUAAUACGGAGGGUGCAAGCGUUAAUCGGGAUUACUGGGCGUAAAGCGCACGCAGGCGGUUGAUUGAGUCAGAUGUGAAAUCCCCGGGCUUAACCCGGGAAUUGCAUCUGAUACUGGUCAGCUAGAGUCUUGUAGAGGGGGGUAGAAUUCCAUGUGUAGCGGUGAAAUGCGUAGAGAUGUGGAGGAAUACCGGUGGCGAAGGCGGCCCCCUGGACAAAGACUGACGCUCAGGUGCGAAAGCGUGGGGAGCAAACAGG